RNAcentral lists this unclassified non-coding RNA (253 nucleotides) under uncultured Caryophanales bacterium. RNAcentral's name for it is "uncultured Bacillales bacterium contains 16S-23S intergenic spacer region". It matches the Rfam family "Bacterial small subunit ribosomal RNA", at positions 524 to 776 of the family's 1533-position model. The record is from RNAcentral. Lineage: Bacteria; Bacillati; Bacillota; Bacilli; Caryophanales.
UACGUAGGUGGCAAGCGUUGUCCGGAAAUAUUGGGCGUAAAGCGCGCGCAGGCGGCCUCUUAAGUCUGAUGUGAAAGCGCCUGGCUCAACCGGGGAGGGCCAUUGGAAACUGCGAGGCUUGAGUGGAGGGGAGAAGAGGGGAAUUCCACGUGUAGCGGUGAAAUGCGUAGAGAUGUGGAGGAACACCAGUGGCGAAGGCGACUCUUUGGCCUAUAACUGACGCUGAGGCGCGAAAGCGUGGGGAGCAAACAGG